Molecule: unclassified non-coding RNA, 374 nt
Filed under: uncultured Entrophospora
Lineage: Eukaryota; Fungi; Glomeromycota; Glomeromycetes; Entrophosporales; Entrophosporaceae
Description: SSU rRNA
Rfam family: Eukaryotic small subunit ribosomal RNA
Source: RNAcentral
AGCAGCCGCGGUAAUUCCAGCUCCAAUAGCGUAUAUUAAAGUUGUUGCAGUUAAAAAGCUCGUAGUUGAACUUCGGGGUUCACCCAUUGGUCAGGCUUAAUUGUCUGUACUGGUGAGAUGAAUCUCUACCUUCUGAGGAACUUUCAUGCCAUUUAUUUGGUGUGAUGGGAAAUCAGGGCUGUUACUUUGAAAAAUUAGAGUGUUUAAAGCAGGCUAACGUCUGAAUACAUUAGCAUGGAAUAAUGAAAUAGGACGGAUUGAUUCUAUUUCGUUGGUUUCUAGGGUCACCGUAAUGAUUAAUAGGGAUAGUUGGGGGCAUUAGUAUUCAAUUGUCAGAGGUGAAAUUCUUGGAUUUAUUGAAGACUAACUACUGA